RNAcentral lists this ribosomal RNA (488 nucleotides) under uncultured bacterium. RNAcentral describes it as "bacterial SSU rRNA". It matches the Rfam family "Bacterial small subunit ribosomal RNA", at positions 29 to 507 of the family's 1533-position model. The record is from RNAcentral.
AUUGAACGCUGGCGGCAUGCCUAACACAUGCAAGUCGAACGGCAGCGCGGGAGCUUGCUCCCUGGCGGCGAGUGGCGGACGGGUGAGUAACGCGUGGGAAUCUGCCUAGUAUGGGGGACAACCCGAGGAAACUCGGGCUAAUACCGCAUACGCCCUACGGGGGAAAGCGGGGGGAUCUUCGGACCUCGCGCUAUUAGAUGAGCCCGCGUCGGAUUAGCUUGUUGGUGAGGUAAAGGCUCACCAAGGCGACGAUCCGUAGCUGGUCUGAGAGGACGAUCAGCCACACUGGGACUGAGACACGGCCCAGACUCCUACGGGAGGCAGCAGUGGGGAAUAUUGGACAAUGGGCGCAAGCCUGAUCCAGCAAUGCCGCGUGUGUGAAGAAGGCCCUAGGGUUGUAAAGCACUUUCAGUAGGGAAGAAAAGCAGGGUGUUAAUACCACCACUGUCAUGACGUUACCUACAGAAGAAGCACCGGCUAACUCCGUG